UUGUUUCGAUUUACUCGUAAACUCCGACGCAAAGAUGCAGUGUUUGAUGGUCCUCCGGGGGCGCCCGGCAGGGUCGCCCCCGAAGCAACGGGAUAGUGUUCACAAAGGGUUGGAGGUCGGACCCGGAGGCCCUCACUCGGUAAUGAUCCCUCCGCAGGUUCACCUACGGAGA
This 172-nucleotide unclassified non-coding RNA is filed under the name uncultured fungus. RNAcentral's name for it is "sequence contains ITS1". The record is from RNAcentral. Lineage: Eukaryota; Fungi.